CACUGAAUGCUGGAAGGCUUACUUUAAUUUCCAUCAAAGUUUUACUGCUUUAUAGAUAAAAACUUAAUUGGAAUAACAUAUUUCUUGGCAUUCAAUAAAAAGCAGAUUAAGAUAUAGUCUCAAGAAUUCAGAGGGUGAUUUUAGCCCACACACCUGCAUAUCAACAGCUAAAAUAAAUUAGAAGGUUACUUAUUGUCCCUGAAGCCAUAGGGAAUGACCAUUGCUGACUUCAAUCAGCCUCGCUGAGCAGUUUGCAUGCAAAGCUGCCUAAAGCCAACAGGUCACAUUUUACAUUUAUUCGUCUGGUAUUAAUGAUGUUAUCAGUCUUGAUUGUAACUCAAAUGCCUUACAAGAUCCUCAGAAUUUACAUUCAGCGUGAGAAGCUGUACCUCUCAGUGAAGGAUGCCAAUCCCCUGGAGCAAUGUAAGUGAGCAGGAAACCAGCAUACUUUGGAAGUUAUAAUUUCCCGGCUCUUGUGCCCACAGUUCUUGCCAGCAUAAUAUCUCUGCCAGCACAAACUUCCGAGCUUUGAUCAUCAUUCCUUCCAAUACUUUUUGUUUCAAUAACAUAUAACGGGAACUAAAAAAUGAAAAUUGAGAGAUAAGGCUGUGUUUGCAUGUUCAGUAUUUGUGGGAAAGCAUACAGCAAAAAAAAUUGAAAUAUGUCAAGAAUGUCACAAGUAUCAAAGACCAUUUGACCAGAAUUUAGAAAUGUGUUAAAAUGUGUUAAAAGGUAACUCUCAGAAUUGUAUGCUGUCAACCUGCAGAUGGUUCCAAAGGACAAUAUUAAAUGUUACAUUUAAAUAGACUUUAAGUUUUGUUUGUAUUUACUAAAUUGGUUAAUCUAAAGGAAAUAAGAUCAUAUUAUGGGUGUAUCAGGAUGUGACAAGUUGGAAACUGAAGGCAGUUAGUCUGAGCAUUGAAGUUAAGGAUGCUUAAUAUUGGACGUAUUAAUAUUCAGUGGAUUAACACUGUGGACUUACACUCAGUGGUCGCUUUAUUAGUUGGAUAUAUUUUAGUUUUUGCACCAUUUUCUGUAACUUUAGAGACUGUUAGUGUGAAAAUCCCAGGAAAUCUGCAGUUUCUGAGGUACUCAGGCCACCCCAUCUGGCACCAACAGUCAUUCCAUGGUCAACUCAUUUAUAUCACAUUUUUUCCACAUCCUGAUGUUUGGUCUGAACAACAACUGAACCUCUUGACCAUGUCUGCAUGCUUUUAUGUAUUUAGUUGCUGCCACAUGUUUGACUAAUUAGAUAUUUGAAUUAACAAGGUGUACAGAUGUACCAAAUAAAUUGGCCACUGAGUGUAUAUUAGCAUCUAGCAGACUCAUAAUGACGUGGUUCACCAGCCUUACUCUCUAAUCUCUGUAUGCUUUCCCACAAAUAGGCUAAGAUAAAAAUUCAUGGUCACCAUCCGGGCAUCUGGAACUGCCUUGAAACACUUCAAGAAAUUUGAUAAUGCAUUUAGUAUUCAGAAAGGACCAUGCAUUUGCAUACUAAUCUGGUGGAUGGAACAUCCUUUUGAAAUAGUAAUUCAUUCCAUUCCAUCCAGUGUACCAGAGCCUCAAAUUUCCCAAGAUUCUGUGCAAUCAUUGACUUUAUUCCCAAAUUCAUUCAGUAUUCAGGAAUUCAUUGGUUAUUAAUAGGCACAAAGCCCCUGGACAGGAUGGGAAUUGAUACAGCCCAAGGCCCAAAUUUGCUGUCUACAUUGAACACACAGGUGCAUAAUAAUGCAACCUUUUGAGAAUUCUGGAGUCCCAUCCCACCACUCUCCAAUGAAUUACGUCAAGGUCAGGCUGCCUGGAUUAGAAAACAAAUCUUAUGAGGGAAGUUUGAGCAAGCUAGGGAUUUUCUGUCUGGAAAGAAAGAAGAUGAGAGGUAGGUUUGGGUUUGGAUACUUGAUCCUCCACAAUAUUCCACAUGGGAAUUUAAACUGGAGAUGGCAGUGUCUUUUUUUUUACAAGGUUGAGUUGCGAGCUCGACAUCAACCCGGCACGGAUGGAGAGCAUGCCCGGGAGCGGUCUGUCCCUGGGUUGAACAUGGGAGCCUCCGUUCUCGAGCCUGGUGCUGACCUCACUGUGCCACCAUCGACCUGGUGGAUAAGAUGAUGAAGGAUUGAUGGUGUGGGCAGCCAGCGCCACAAUGGCCACUAUGAGAGCGCAUAACAUUAAAGUGAUUGGAAGAGAGAAAAGGGACACAUCAGAGGUCAUUCAUAAAAAUCACAGAGGUCCUAGAACAGAUCCCUGAGGCACACCAUUGGUGACCCACCACCAUGCAGAAAAUGACCCGUCUAUAACCAAUUAAGACGGCAGCAGAGGAGAAAAGUUGUCUACAGGCAGAAGACUCUGUCGGACAGUGAUAAUGUACGUUGCCGCAGGCCUGUUACCCUUGUCUGGUGGAGGGAUAGACAACUUGGGAGCUGCGUAGCCUCGGUUGUAGUGAGAACAAGGCAUCAAGCAUCCGGCUUGCCUGCUGCUGCAGACCAGUCGAGAGAUGCGGAAGCACUACAGCGUGACCUCGCCCGCAGGUGCUGCCCUCCCUUGUUAAUCAGUGGAAUGACAGGCUGGAUUGAGUGCAUCUGUACACCACUGGGAGACUGUACCAUCGAUUGCUGGACAUUGCCGCUCAGGGUCUUGGACUAUAAAUGUCUCCUUUUCGAGUGAAUAUGCUUCUUUGCUUGAUACUUGAAUUACGUUACUAAUUAUUUUUGAAUAUUUGCUUGCUGUUUUUGAAUAUUUUGCACCUUGGCUCCAGAGGAAUGCUGUCUCAUUCAGCUGCAUCUAUGCAUGGUCUGAAUGAUAAUUAACCUUGAUUUGAUUUGAUCCAGGCCUUUCAUACAAACUAAAUACUAGCUUGAGAUUCAUUUUCUUGCAGACAAAUUACAAAUAUUGUGAGCUCCCUAUCUAGAUAAGAUAUGCUGGUUUGAGAAAGAAGCUCAUUACCCCUUCUAGGGCAUUUAAGUAUGAAAAGUUACCCUAUCGAUAGUGAUCAUAUCCCAUUUAUGAAUAAAAUAAAAUGUUUUAAACAUAAUAAGACCUCCACAGGAGCAUUGGGAAACAAUGCCAUGCCACAGAAGGAUGUAUUAGGACAGGUGGCCAAGUGAUAGGCUUGAAAGGAUUAUCGUAGAGAGGGGUGAAAAGUUAGAUAGACUUUGGGGGCUUAUUGCCCUGCAGAUGAGGGCAGCACAGUGGCAUAGCAGCUAGGGCAAUGCUACUACUGUGCCAGCAAUCUCGGCUCAAUUCCUGCCGGCGUCUGUAAGGAAUUUAUACGUUCUCCCUGUGACUGUGUGGAUUUCCGCCGGGUGCUCAGCUUCCUCUCACAUUCCAAAAACGAAUGGGUUAGUAGGUUAACUGAUCACAUGGGUAUUAGUGGGUGGCAUGGGUUUGUUGGGCUGGAAGGGCCUGUAAUCAUGUUGUAUCUCUAAAUUUUAUAAAAUAAAGAGUGAAUGCUACUAGUGGAGCAAUUAACUUUGGAUCAUUCUACUUUAGUUUUUCAUGUCCCUGACUUGCACGAAAUAAAUUAAUGCCAUUUUUGCAAAACUAUCACUGAUGUCCCAAGGCGUCCAAUUUAUUCACUGUGCUGUACAGUGAAGUUCUCAUUGUGUCCUUUACUAUUAUUUUGAUUAGAAGCUGAUUGGCAAAAGGUUAAAACAUUAAUGCUCAAAAACAAAAUUGUUAAUUUAGUGUUAAUUCUCCAUGAAUUUAAUUUAAAAUGCAUUAACUAUAAGCCAAAUGAGGUUUACUAGUCAAAACUGGGAGAUUAUAGCUUCGAGGUAUCGUGAGCUGUCUGCAGCCUAUGGCUUUGCUGGAGGAACUAUGUUAACUGCAUCC
Molecule: long non-coding RNA, 3828 nt
Organism: Hypanus sabinus (Atlantic stingray)
Lineage: Eukaryota; Metazoa; Chordata; Chondrichthyes; Myliobatiformes; Dasyatidae
Exons: 3
Source: RefSeq, a predicted model, not a curated record